Molecule: transfer RNA, 74 nt
Filed under: Schistosoma mansoni
Lineage: Eukaryota; Metazoa; Platyhelminthes; Trematoda; Strigeidida; Schistosomatidae
Source: RNAcentral
CGGUUCAGUAGUCCAGAGGCUAGGCGUUCGCUCACGAGGCCAAAGGUCCUGGGUUCAAAUCCCAAGUGUGGGAU